This 484-nucleotide long non-coding RNA is filed under the name Heterocephalus glaber (naked mole-rat). Its description in RNAcentral is "lncRNA (ENSHGLG00100047984.1)". The record is from RNAcentral. Lineage: Eukaryota; Metazoa; Chordata; Mammalia; Rodentia; Bathyergidae.
UCCAAGUCUGACACAAAACCCAGAAGCAACAAAGGAAAAGAAUGACAGAUUUAAGUGCAUGAAGUCUAAAUAUAUCCUGCAGGGCUCAAGAAACCAUAAGCAAAGGUAAAGCCAAAUACGAACAGGUAAAAGAUGAUAUAUGUACAAGAAACCUGUUAAAUGACACUAAUACAUAAAAAAGCUUCAACAAUUCAGUAAGAAAAAGACAAUUCAGCAGGAAAAAGUGGGCAAGUAACAUGGGACUUGUAGAAGAAAUACAAACACACACUUUAAGGGCGUCAACAUUUUUUUUUUCGACACAGGGACUUGCUACGUAGUUCUGACUGCAGCAGUGCUCCUACCUCAUCUCGUCGUAGUGCUGGGAUUAUAGGCAUGCAUCACCAUACCUGGUGGAAUGAUGGUCCUGUACUGCUAAACACAAGGUUUACCACUGACCUGUGCCCCCAGCCCAGUCCAAAGCUUUGAAGUUAACUGGAUCUUGGAC